Molecule: non-coding RNA, 517 nt
Organism: Paramormyrops kingsleyae
Lineage: Eukaryota; Metazoa; Chordata; Actinopteri; Osteoglossiformes; Mormyridae
Source: RefSeq, a predicted model, not a curated record
GUAGAAAAUAGAUAGAGGCAAACAAAGACAAAUCGAUAGUCCAAACACAAGCAGGUACAACAGUCACGAAACACAAAAACCAAUAAACAGGGUUGCCAACUUUCACAUAUCUGGCGUGACACGGUUUCUGACUGUCACGCACACGCAAGAAAUCUUACGGCAAAUCUAUAUUAUUCCAUUAUAAGCCUAAAAUUAGUUGUAUCAAAAGCGUCGGGGUAGUUUGCAAACCAAGCGGACUAUUUACAAGAUAGAGGACCUGGGGGCAUAAAGAAGAUCUGAGCAGUACAGCCUUGAGCAAACGGGCCGCGGAUGGUCGGACACAGACAGUUUAGAAGCAUCUGGAGAGAGAGAGACAUCUGAAUGCAGUUUUGUCCCCAAGAGUCUUAAACAACCUACAGUGAUGAAAAAUCGCACAGGCCUCAGUGAAGAUUCAGUGAUGGAUUCAGCACCAUACAACAGGUUCAGUGGGUCUGACCCAGAUGUCAGUUUUCCGGGACCAAAGUUCACGCUAUGUCCA